This is a long non-coding RNA of Styela clava, 750 nucleotides long. RefSeq lists it as uncharacterized. The record is from RefSeq and is a predicted model, not a curated record. Lineage: Eukaryota; Metazoa; Chordata; Ascidiacea; Stolidobranchia; Styelidae.
GCAAUUUUUACACCAUUAUUCCAAUAACAGAUUAUGAUGCAAUAAUGUAUUUACCAUUGCCUGAAUUAUCUUUUCGUCCCUUCCCGCUUUGCGACCUCGACCAUGCGUGUGGUCGCCGCUGUAAGUUUACCGUUUGAAACUCGUGUAGUUACGAUAUAUAGCUUCAAAACUUUGAAAAGGAAAAUGUACUCAACCAUAUGAAAGUCUAGUGUCGCAUAAGUCGGAAGAAGUGCCGGAACCCAGCCUGAAACCGCAAGCUCAAAGUACCGGUGCUGUCCGCCAUUGAAAUGCGUUUUCCAGGAUUGUGAAGCUAGGUAUACUCAUGGCCGGGAGGAAGAAAUAUACUGAAUAUUGUAAAAGCCUAAUAUGUUAUACUGUUGUUUUGGAAAAAGUUGAACUGGAACUUAGCUUGAAACCUACAACCUUGAAGUACCGGUGCUCUUCGCGGAUGAAAUUAUGUUUCAGGGAUCGAGUCAAUAGUAAUCAUUACGUUUCCACUCGGUCUACCUGCACCGCUUCUCUCCUCGGCCGACCUAGAUUCAGCACAUAUAAAGUAAAAUGUUGACGGAUGAACUUGGUUGAAGGAAGCGUCGAUUUACAUUAUUAUUUGGUGCCGUACUUAACGUUAUCCAUCGGUAAUCUACAUUCAGGAUAUACGUGCACUCAUUGAUUUAAUAUACCUUUGCAUCGCCACAUAUUUUUGCGGCGAUUAUUGAAUAUAGACAUAGUAACGUUUUAUUUAUUUUUUCA